UACGUAGGGGGCAAGCGUUGUCCGGAAUCAUUGGGCGUAAAGCGCGUGUAGGCGGCUUAGUAAGUCUGCUCUGAAAGCCCGGGGCUCAACCCUGGGAGGCGGGUGGAUACUGCUGAGCUUGAGUCCGGAAGAGGCGAGUGGAAUUCCUGGUGUAGCGGUGAAAUGCGCAGAUAUCAGGAAGAACACCAACGGCGAAGGCAGCUCGCUGGGACGGUACUGACGCUGAGACGCGAAAGCGUGGGGAGCGAACAGG
This 253-nucleotide ribosomal RNA is filed under the name uncultured bacterium. RNAcentral's name for it is "partial 16S ribosomal RNA". It matches the Rfam family "Bacterial small subunit ribosomal RNA", at positions 524 to 776 of the family's 1533-position model. The record is from RNAcentral.